This 375-nucleotide ribosomal RNA is filed under the name uncultured bacterium. RNAcentral's name for it is "bacterial SSU rRNA". It matches the Rfam family "Bacterial small subunit ribosomal RNA", at positions 523 to 898 of the family's 1533-position model. The record is from RNAcentral.
AUACGUAGGUCCCGAGCGUUGUCCGGAUUUAUUGGGCGUAAAGCGAGCGCAGGUGGUUUAUUAAGUCUGGUGUAAAAGGCAGUGGCUCAACCAUUGUAUGCAUUGGAAACUGGUAGACUUGAGUGCAGGAGAGGAGAGUGGAAUUCCACGUGUAGCGGUGAAAUGCGUAGAGAUGCGGAGGAACACCUGUGGCGAAGGCGCCUUGCUGGCCGGUUCCUGACGUUGAGGCGCGAAAGCGUGGGGAGCAAACAGGAUUAGAUACCCUGGUAGUCCACGCCGUAAACGAUGAGUGCUAGAUGUAGGGAGCUAUAAGUUCUCUGUAUCGCAGCUAACGCAAUAAGCACUCCGCCUGGGGAGUACAACCGCAAGGUUGAA